UUCCAAGCUACAAAGAGCCAACGGUGGAUGCCUUGGCGCCAGGAGCCGAUGAAGGACGUGGGUGACUGCGAUAAGCCACGGGGAGCCGUCGACCAGGCUUCGAUCCGUGGAUCUCCGAAUGGGGAAACCCGGCAGGGGUAAAUGCCCUGUCACCCCGGGCUGAACACAUAGGCCCGGUGGAGGGAACCGGGGGAAUUGAAACAUCUCAGUACCCCGAGGAACAGAAAGCAACAGCGACUUCCUGAGUAGCGGCGAGCGAAACGGAAUCAGCCCAAACCGUUGUAGUGGUACAGCCUGCUGGCGAUGCUGCAACGGGGUUGUGGGGCCCGCUUGGAAGGGCAGCAGACCUUCCGAGGAGUUACAAAACCAAUGCUUAGCGGAACGGUUAUGGAAAUUCCGACCGCAGAGGGUAACAGUCCCGUACGCGAAAAGUAUUUGGUCUCCUUGCGGUGUCCCCAAGUAGCACGGGACCCGGGAAAUUCCGUGUGAAUCUGCGAGGACCACCUCGUAAGGCUAAGUACACUCUGGCGACCGAUAGUGCACUAGUACCGUGAGGGAAAGGUGAAAAGUACCCCGGGAGGGGAGUGAAAUAGUACCUGAAACCGUUGGCUUACAAACAGUCAGAGCGUCGUCACCGGUUCUACCGGUGGCCGUGAUGGCGUGCCUUUUGAAGAAUGAGCCGGCGAGUUACCGUCAGUGGCAAGGUUAACCUGUGAAGGGGAGCCGGAGCGAAAGCGAGUCUGAACAGGGCGUUCAGUCGCUGGCGGUAGACCCGAAGCCGAGUGAGCUAUCCAUGGGCAGGCUGAAGCGAGGGUAAGACCUCGUGGAGGGCCGAACCGACCAUGGUUGAAAACAUGGCGGAUGACCUGUGGAUAGGGGUGAAAGGCCAAGCAAACUCGGUGAUAGCUGGUUCUCCCCGAAAUGCAUUUAGGUGCAGCGU
This 940-nucleotide ribosomal RNA is filed under the name Actinomycetota bacterium. Its description in RNAcentral is "partial 23S ribosomal RNA". It matches the Rfam family "Bacterial large subunit ribosomal RNA", at positions 1 to 882 of the family's 2925-position model. The record is from RNAcentral. Lineage: Bacteria; Bacillati; Actinomycetota.